RNAcentral lists this ribosomal RNA (524 nucleotides) under uncultured Bacillota bacterium. RNAcentral's name for it is "bacterial SSU rRNA". It matches the Rfam family "Bacterial small subunit ribosomal RNA", at positions 359 to 879 of the family's 1533-position model. Lineage: Bacteria; Bacillati; Bacillota. The record is from RNAcentral.
UUUCUACUGCAAUGGACGAAAGUCUGACAGAGCAACGCGGCGUGAGAGAAGAAGGUCUUCGGAUAGUAAAACUCUGUUGUCAGGGAAGAACACCCGGGAGAGGAUCCCGGCUUGACGGUACCUGACGAGAAAGCCCCGGCUAACUACGUGCCAGCAGCCGCGGUAAUACGUAGGGGGCGAGCGUUGUCCGGAAUCAUUGGGCGUAAAGCGCGCGCAGGCGGUUUCUUAAGUCUGAUGUGAAAGCCCCCGGCUCAACCGUGGAGGGCCAUUGGAAACUGGGAGGCUUGAGUGCAGGAGAGGAGAGUGGAAUUCCUGGUGUAGCGGUGAAAUGCGUAGAGAUCAGGAGGAACACCGAUGGCGAAGGCAGCUCUCUGGCCUGUAACUGACGCUGAGGCGCGAAAGCGUGGGGAGCAAACAGGAUUAGAUACCCUGGUAGUCCACGCCGUAAACGAUGAGUGCUAGGUGUUAGGGGUUUACACACCCUCAGUGCCGAAGUCUAACACAUUAAGCACUCCGCCUGGGAG